GUGCGGAUGUGCAAUCUUCACCUGUUUAUUCGGUAGAGGGUGCCAUCUUCAGGUAGCCCUUCACGUUGUACAGAAAACAAUGGAGACUUCUCCUCCUGGGGCAGCUCAGAUAACAAGUGCCACUUCCAGGCUAAAGGAAUCCAUUCAGCAAACUCCCAGUAUGAAUGUUUCUGCUCUCGGCUGGAGAAACAGAAGAAGCAUUAAUGAAGGAGAGGGAUUCUACAGCAGCACAGUCCAAUAAAACUUUCUGUGGAGAUGGAAAUGAUCCAUUAUCUGUGCUCCCCAAUAUGCCAGUUGCUAGCUGCAAUUAGCUACCGAGCACCUAAAAUGUGGCUAGCGCAGCUGAGAAACAGAGCCUUUCAUUUUAUUUCACUUUAAUUAAAGAGUUCUAGAGCUCUUGCCUCUAGAGCAGUGCUUUUUAG
This 422-nucleotide non-coding RNA is filed under the name Pan troglodytes (chimpanzee). Lineage: Eukaryota; Metazoa; Chordata; Mammalia; Primates; Hominidae. The record is from RNAcentral.